UACGGGGGGAGCAAGCGUUGUUCGGAUUUACUGGGCGUAAAGGGCGCGUAGGCGGCGCAACAAGUCACUUGUGAAAGCUCCCGGCUUAACUGGGAGAGGUCAAGGGAAACUGUUCAGCUAGAGUGUGGUAGAGGAAGAUGGAAUUCCCGGUGUAGCGGUGAAAUGCGUAGAUAUCGGGAGGAAUACCUAUGGCGAAAGCAGUCUUCUGGACCAUCACUGACUCUGAUCUGCGAAAGCUAGGGGAGCAAACAGG
RNAcentral lists this ribosomal RNA (253 nucleotides) under uncultured bacterium. RNAcentral describes it as "partial 16S ribosomal RNA". It matches the Rfam family "Bacterial small subunit ribosomal RNA", at positions 524 to 776 of the family's 1533-position model. The record is from RNAcentral.